AUUGAACGCUGGCGGCAGGCCUAACACAUGCAAGUCGAGCGCGAAAGUCUUCGGAUGAGUAAAGCGGCGGACGGGUGAGUAAUGCAUGGGAAUCUGCCUGGUAGUGGGGGACAACGUUUCGAAAGAGACGCUAAUACCGCAUACGCCCUACGGGGGAAAGGGGGGGAUCUUCGGACCUCUCGCUAUCAGAUGAGCCCAUGUCAGAGUAGCUAGUUGGUAGGGUAAAGGCCUACCAAGGCGACGAUCUGUAACUGGUCUGAGAGGAUGAUCAGUCACACUGGAGCUGAGACACGGUCCAGACUGCUACGGGAGGCAGCAGUGGGGAAUAUUGGACAAUGGGGGCAACCCUGAUCCAGCCAUGCCGCGUGUGUGAAGAAGGCCUUAGGGUUGUAAAGCACUUUCAGUGGGGAGAAAGGUUAUUCACCUAAUACGUGAGUAAAUUGAUGCUACCCACAGAAGAAGCACCGGCUAACUCCGUGCCAGCCGCCGCCGUAA
RNAcentral lists this ribosomal RNA (495 nucleotides) under uncultured bacterium. RNAcentral's name for it is "partial 16S ribosomal RNA". It matches the Rfam family "Bacterial small subunit ribosomal RNA", at positions 30 to 523 of the family's 1533-position model. The record is from RNAcentral.